UCUUGAAAUUUUAAGAAUUUGGCGGUGCUUUAGUCCAGUUAGAGGAACUUGUUUUCGUAGAACGAUAAACCACGUAGAAUCUUACUUUUUUUAUUUAGUUUGUAUACCGUCAUUAUUAGGUGAUUUUUAAAAAAUUAAUCAUUAAAAUAAAGCUAGGUUUAGUAUAUUAGAUCAAGGUGCAGCUUAUAAAAAAGUGGAAAUGGGUUACAAUAAAUUUUAUUUAUAUGGAUUUAUAUUAGGAUUAAUUUAAUAAAGGUGGAUUUAAUUGUAGUUUGAGUUUAAUAUGCUUUGAUGAUAUAGGCCCUAGAGUAAGUACAUAUCGCCCGUCGCAAAUAG
RNAcentral lists this ribosomal RNA (336 nucleotides) under Cosmonotus grayii. Its description in RNAcentral is "partial 12S ribosomal RNA". Lineage: Eukaryota; Metazoa; Arthropoda; Malacostraca; Decapoda; Raninidae. The record is from RNAcentral.